AGUGGCGGGGUUCUCGCCGGUCCUGCGGGUCGCUGCUUGGCUGUGGGUUAGCAGCACCCUGAGCGGAGCGGAAGAGCUGCCCGCCGCCGCGUAACCCCGAGGCCGAGACUCCUGGCCUGGCCUCCUUGGGCCCACGACGCCUGCCCCGCGGAGCGGACCCAUGGGCCUGAGGUUUGUGUGCGGGGCCUCAGGCGAGCGCUGGCGCAGCCUGUCCCCCAUCGUCUGCGCCCUGCGGGCCUGGCCCUCCCCGUGGAAGGACCGCGGGCUUCGGGGCCCCACGCUGGGGGGCUGACUCCUGCCACACACACAGCGGUGGCCGCGGGCCUGGGGCGGCAGCACAGCCAUUCUGCUCGGGCUGCGUGAGCUGACCCCGCUCUCUGUGCACCUACUUUUGCUGCGUUUGGUGCUGAGCCUGAAGUCCCAGGACAGGCGGCUGAGGGGGAAAGAUGGUGUGAAUUGGGUGGGCAGAGACAACUGAAAGCCACAGGACCCGGUUGGCACCUUUUUGGCCGCCUGCGCCUUUGCCUGCAGCCCCGCUCCCUGGGUCACCCGAAGGAGGAGCUGGCGCUCUUUCCGGGCGCAGAAGCACCCGACCCACGCUGGAGGAAACGGUCCCUCUGGGCAGGAGAAGCUUUGGGCCUGGCUGGAGCACACUCACGGAACCACGCCAACGCCUGGCCUGUAGCCAGCUCCCACCUCCCCUCCCACCUUCUAAAAUGCUUGCGGAUCUCACGUGGCCGACCCUAACCAGAUACACAUGGGGAAAGGAAUCAGGUGGCACACAUACCGCCUUUACUCCAUAGAGAACUUCCAAUUGUGGGUCGGCACAGACGCAACCCAGUCUCCUCCCACCUCCGAGAGUGCAGUGUCCUGAAUGGAGAACCCCAGCACCCAGAAGCAUCCACUGAAGGACUAAAUUCUACACAUGAAGGCAAACGUCCGUGGUUGACAGAAAUUACACUGGCCAGAAUCCCCAGUCCCCAUGAGGCUUGUCCAGACGCAGUGAACCAGUCGCAGCUGAUAACACACAGACCAUUCCCGAUCCCAGAGGUGCAUUUCAGGAUUCAUUCUAUUUCAUCAGAGACGGGGUCUUCCUGUGUUGCCCAGGCUGGUCUCGAACUCCUGGGCUGAAGCAAUCUUCCUGCCUUGGCCUCCCAGAGGGUUGGAAUUGCAGAUGUGAGGUGUGUCCUGGAACCCUGGCUGCACCCACAGAUACAGCCACUCCUGGGCCCAUGUGGAUGUAACCUUCGAGUGCCGGAAUGCCUCGUCUCCAUGGAGACCAAACUCAAGGGCCUGACUGGCCCAGUCUACCGAGACCAUGAGACCUGCUGUGCCCCUCGGCCAGGCCAACCCAAAUUCUUUUAAAUAAAAGGCACAAGCCACA
This 1384-nucleotide long non-coding RNA is filed under the name Homo sapiens (human). RNAcentral's name for it is "non-protein coding NOP14-AS1:18". The record is from RNAcentral. Lineage: Eukaryota; Metazoa; Chordata; Mammalia; Primates; Hominidae.